UGCAGUCGGACGGUAGCACAAAGAGCUUGCUCUCGGGUGACGAGUGGCGGACGGGUGAGUAAUGUCUGGGGAUCUGCCCGAUAGAGGGGGAUAACCACUGGAAACGGUGGCUAAUACCGCAUAACGUCGCAAGACCAAAGAGGGGGACCUUCGGGCCUCUCACUAUCGGAUGAACCCAGAUGGGAUUAGCUAGUAGGCGGGGUAAUGGCCCACCUAGGCGACGAUCCCUAGCUGGUCUGAGAGGAUGACCAGCCACACUGGAACUGAGACACGGUCCAGACUCCUACGGGAGGCAGCAGUGGGGAAUAUUGCACAAUGGGCGCAAGCCUGAUGCAGCCAUGCCGCGUGUAUGAAGAAGGCCUUCGGGUUGUAAAGUACUUUCAGCGGGGAGGAAGGCGAUGCGGUUAAUAACCGCGUCGAUUGACGUUACCCGCAGAAGAAGCACCGGCUAACUCCGUGCCAGCAGCCGCGGUAAUACGGAGGGUGCAAGCGUUAAUCGGAAUUACUGGGCGUAAAGCGCACGCAGGCGGUCUGUUAAGUCAGAUGUGAAAUCCCCGGGCUUAACCUGGGAACUGCAUUUGAAACUGGCAGGCUUGAGUCUUGUAGAGGGGGGUAGAAUUCCAGGUGUAGCGGUGAAAUGCGUAGAGAUCUGGAGGAAUACCGGUGGCGAAGGCGGCCCCCUGGACAAAGACUGACGCUCAGGUGCG
This 707-nucleotide ribosomal RNA is filed under the name Pantoea sp. W2-PCAi-E14. RNAcentral describes it as "bacterial SSU rRNA". It matches the Rfam family "Bacterial small subunit ribosomal RNA", at positions 56 to 755 of the family's 1533-position model. Lineage: Bacteria; Pseudomonadati; Pseudomonadota; Gammaproteobacteria; Enterobacterales; Erwiniaceae. The record is from RNAcentral.